Phyllostomus hastatus (greater spear-nosed bat) is the source of this 504-nucleotide non-coding RNA. The record is from the annotation of a RefSeq genome assembly. NCBI's taxonomy places the organism in Eukaryota, Metazoa, Chordata, Mammalia, Chiroptera, Phyllostomidae.
CCCACACCUAGGAUCAGACACAGAUUCUGAGCUCUGAGGCCUGCAACCCCAGUUUGCACUUGAACUAUGAGACCAGUGAUAGGAAUCACUCUUUUCCUCACUUUGGGUAUUAUGGGAGAUGCUAAGUCCACACAGCCAGAUGCAGUGGAGAGUACUGAAGAAGGAACAGUGCAUCUGCCCUGUAACCACUCCACAAUCAGUACAAAUGAGUACAUAUAUUGGUAUCGACAGAUUCCCCACCAGGGUCCAGAGUAUGUGAUUCGUGGUUUAAAAGGCAAUGUGACCGAACGGAUGGCCUUUCUCUACAUCACAGCAGACAGAAAGUCCAGUACCUUGAUCCUGCCCCAGGUUACCCUGAGAGACUCUGCUGUGUACUACUGCAUCGUGAGAGACCCACAGUGGAAACCAUGGGGCUGCACCUGUGCAAUAUCUCCCUGGAGGGAAGGGGAGCAGCUGUGGCAUCUGAAGAGGCCACUGUACCAGAAACAGCAGCAGAAGAAGUGA